Molecule: ribosomal RNA, 468 nt
Filed under: uncultured bacterium
Lineage: Bacteria
Description: partial 16S ribosomal RNA
Rfam family: Bacterial small subunit ribosomal RNA
Source: RNAcentral
GACGAACGCUGGCGGCGUGCUUAACACAUGCAAGUCGAACGGAAAGGCCCUGCUUUUGUGGGGUGCUCGAGUGGCGAACGGGUGAGUAACACGUGAGUAACCUGCCCUUGACUUUGGGAUAACUUCAGGAAACUGGGGCUAAUACCGGAUAGGAGCUCCUGCUGCAUGGUGGGGGUUGGAAAGUUUCGGCGGUUGGGGAUGGACUCGCGGCUUAUCAGCUUGUUGGUGGGGUAGUGGCUUACCAAGGCUUUGACGGGUAGCCGGCCUGAGCGGGUGACCGGCUACAUUGGGAUUGAGAUGCGGCACAGACUCCUACGGGAGGCAGCAGUGGGGAAGAUUGCACAAUGGGCGGAAGCCUGAUGCAGCAACGCCGCGUGCGGGAUGACGUGCUUCGGGUUGUAAACCGCUUUCGCCUGUGACGAAGCGUGUGUGACGGUAAUGGGUAAAGAAGCACCGGCUAACUACGUG